RNAcentral lists this ribosomal RNA (811 nucleotides) under Arthrobotrys polycephala. RNAcentral's name for it is "eukaryotic LSU rRNA". It matches the Rfam family "Eukaryotic large subunit ribosomal RNA", at positions 34 to 866 of the family's 3401-position model. The record is from RNAcentral. Lineage: Eukaryota; Fungi; Ascomycota; Orbiliomycetes; Orbiliales; Orbiliaceae.
CUAAGCAUAUCAAUAAGCGGAGGAAAAGAAACCAACAGGGAUUGCCUCAGUAACGGCGAGUGAAGCGGCAACAGCUCAAAUUUGAAAUCUGGCCUCUUCGGCCUCCGAGUUGUAAUUUGAAGAGGAUGUUUCGGAGUGACCUGGGCCUAAGUUCCUUGGAACAGGACGUCAUGGAGGGUGAGAAUCCCGUACAUGGCUGCAGGUCUACUCCAUGUGAAGCUCCUUCGAAGAGUCGAGUUGUUUGGGAAUGCAGCUCAAAAUGGGUGGUAAAUUUCAUCUAAAGCUAAAUAUUGGCGGGAGACCGAUAGCGCACAAGUAGAGUGAUCGAAAGAUGAAAAGCACUUUGAAAAGAGAGUUAAACAGUACGUGAAAUUGUUGAAAGGGAAGCGCUUGCAAUCAGACUCGCCUUCAGUUGAUCAACCUUCCUUCUGGUUGGUGCACUCUGCUGUUGGCGGGCCAGCAUCAGUUGGGGCGGUGGGACAAAGGCAGUGGGAAUGUGGCUCGCUUCGGUGAGUGUUAUAGCCCAUUGUGUCAUGCUGCCAGCCCCGACUGAGGUCCGCGGUUCGCCUAGGAUGCUGGCUUAAUGGUUGUAAGCGACCCGUCUUGAAACACGGACCAAGGAGUCUAACAUCUAUGCGAGUCUUUGGGUGUAAAACCCAUGGGCGAAAUGAAAGUGAACGGAGGUGGGAGUCCUCGGAUGCACCAUCGACCGAUCCUGAUGUUCUCGGAUGGAUUUGAGUAGGAGCAUAGCUGUUGGGACCCGAAAGAUGGUGAACUAUGCCUGAAUAGGGUGAAGCCAGAGGAAACUCUG